RNAcentral lists this ribosomal RNA (1480 nucleotides) under uncultured Bordetella sp. RNAcentral describes it as "partial 16S-23S ribosomal RNA intergenic spacer". It matches the Rfam family "Bacterial small subunit ribosomal RNA". The record is from RNAcentral. Lineage: Bacteria; Pseudomonadati; Pseudomonadota; Betaproteobacteria; Burkholderiales; Alcaligenaceae.
GGUUCGAUUCUGGCUCAGAUUGAACGCUGGCGGGAUGCUUUACACAUGCAAGUCGAACGGCAGCACGGGCUUCGGUCUGGUGGCGAGUGGCGAACGGGUGAGUAAUGUAUCGGAACGUGCCUAGUAGCGGGGAUAACUACGCGAAAGCGUAGCUAAUACCGCAUACGCCCUUCGGGGGAAAGCGGGGACCUUUCGGGCCUCGCACUAUUAGAGCGGCCGAUAUCGGAUUAGCUAGGUAACGGCUCACCAAGGCGACGAUCCGUAGCUGGUUUGAGAGGACGACCAGCCACACUGGGACUGAGACACGGCCCAGACUCCUACGGGAGGCAGCAGUGGGAAUUUUGGACAAUGGGGGAAACUCCCUGAUCCAGCAUCCCGCGUGUGCGAUGAAGGCCUUCGGGUUGUAAAGCACUUUUUGGCAGGAAGAAAACGGCACGGGAUAAUACCCCCGUGCAACUGACGGUACCUGCAGAAUAAGCAAUUGGCUAACUACGCGCCAGCAGCCGCGGUAUUACGUAGGGGUGCAAGCGUUAAUCGGAAUUACUACGUAAAGCGUGCGCAGGCGGUUCGGAAAGAAAGAUGUGAAAUCCCAGAGCUUAACUUUGGAACUGCAUUUUUAACUACCGAGCUAGAGUGUGUCAGAGUGGGAGGUGGAAUUCCGCGUGUAGCAGUGAAAUGCGUAGAUAUGCGGAGGAACACCGAUGGCGAAGGCAGCCUCCUGGGAUAACACUGACGCUCAUGCACGAAAGCGUGGGGAGCAAACAGGAUUAGAUACCCUGGUAGUCCACGCCCUAAAACGAUGUCAAUCUAGCUGUUGGGGCCUUCGGCCUCGGUAGUGCAGCUAACGCGUGAAGUUGACCGCCUGGGGAGUACGGUCACAAGAUUAAAACUCAAAGAAUUGGCGGGGACCCGCACAAGCGGUGGAUGAUGUGUGGAUUAAUUCGAUGCAACGCGAAAAACCUUACCUACCCUUGACAUGUCUGGAAUCCCGAAGAGAUUUGGGGAGUGCUCGCAAGAGAACCGGAACACAGGUGCUGCAUGGCUGUCAGCUCGUGUCGUGAGAUGCUGGGUUAAGUCCCGCAACGAGCGCAACCCUUGUCAUUAGUUGCUACGAAAGGGCACUCUAAUGAGACUGCCGGUGACAAACCGGAGGAAGGUGGGAUGACGUCAAGUCCUCAUGGCCCUUAUGGUAGGGCUUCACACGUCAUACAAUGGUCGGGACAGAGGGUCGCCAACCCGCGAGGGGGAGCCAAUCCCAGAAACCCGAUCGUAGUCCGAUCGCAGUCUGCAACUCGACUGCGUGAAGUCGGAAUCGCUAGUAAUCGCGGAUCAGCAUGUCGCGGUGAAUACGUUCCCGGGUCUUGUACACACCGCCCGUCACACCAUGGGAGUGGGUUUCUACCAGAGCAGUUAGCCCUAACCGUAAGGAGGGCGAUUACCACGGUAGAUUCAUGACUGGGGUGAAGUCGCAACAAGGUAA